RNAcentral lists this ribosomal RNA (253 nucleotides) under uncultured bacterium. RNAcentral's name for it is "partial 16S ribosomal RNA". It matches the Rfam family "Bacterial small subunit ribosomal RNA", at positions 524 to 776 of the family's 1533-position model. The record is from RNAcentral.
UACGGAGGGUGCAAGCGUUACCCGGAAUCACUGGGCGUAAAGGGCGCGUAGGCGGUCUCGUAAGUCUGGCUUUAAAGACCGAGGCUCAACUUCGGAUCUGGGUUGGAUACUGCAAGGCUAGACGGCUGGAGGGGAGAGUGGAAUUCUCGGUGUAGCGGUGAAAUGCGGAGAUACCGAGAGGAACACCAGUAGCGAAGGCGGCUCUCUGGACAGUACGUGACGCUGAGGAGCGAAAGUGUGGGGAGCAAACCGG